UGCGUAGGUGGUUUCUUAAGUCAGAGGUGAAAGGCUACGGCUCAACCGUAGUAAGCCUUUGAAACUGGGAAACUUGAGUGCAGGAGAGGAGAGUGGAAUUCCUAGUGUAGCGGUGAAAUGCGUAGAUAUUAGGAGGAACACCAGUUGCGAAGGCGGCUCUCUGGACUGUAACUGACACUGAGGCACGAAAGCGUGGGGAAGCAAACAG
This 208-nucleotide ribosomal RNA is filed under the name uncultured bacterium. RNAcentral describes it as "partial 16S ribosomal RNA". It matches the Rfam family "Bacterial small subunit ribosomal RNA", at positions 568 to 775 of the family's 1533-position model. The record is from RNAcentral.